Molecule: unclassified non-coding RNA, 332 nt
Filed under: soil metagenome
Description: partial contains 5.8S ribosomal RNA, internal transcribed spacer 2, and large subunit ribosomal RNA
Rfam family: 5.8S ribosomal RNA (bases 3-120)
Source: RNAcentral
GCUGAAGAACGUAGCAAAAUGCGAUAAGUAAUGUGAAUUGCAGAAUUCAGUGAAUCAUCGAAUCUUUGAACGCACAUUGCGCCCGCCAGUAUUCUGGCGGGCAUGCCUGUUCGAGCGUCAUUUCAACCCUCAAGCACAGCUUGGUGUUGGGACUCGCGUUAAUUCGCGUUCCCCAAAUUGAUUGGCGGUCACGUCGAGCUUCCAUAGCGUAGUAGUAAAACCCUCGUUACUGGUAAUCGUCGCGGCCACGCCGUUAAACCCCAACUUCUGAAUGUUGACCUCGGAUCAUGUAGGAAUACCCGCUGAACUUAAGCAUAUCAAUAAGCGGAGGA